This 72-nucleotide transfer RNA is filed under the name Cimex lectularius (bed bug). Its description in RNAcentral is "tRNA-Asn". It matches the Rfam family "tRNA". Rfam says of the family: Transfer RNA (tRNA) molecules are approximately 80 nucleotides in length. Their secondary structure includes four short double-helical elements and three loops (D, anti-codon, and T loops). Further hydrogen bonds mediate the characteristic L-shaped molecular structure. tRNAs have two regions of fundamental functional importance: the anti-codon, which is responsible for specific mRNA codon recognition, and the 3' end, to which the tRNAs corresponding amino acid is attached (by aminoacyl-tRNA synthetases). tRNAs cope with the degeneracy of the genetic code in two manners: having more than one tRNA (with a specific anti-codon) for a particular amino acid; and 'wobble' base-pairing, i.e. permitting non-standard base-pairing at the 3rd anti-codon position. The record is from Rfam by way of RNAcentral. Lineage: Eukaryota; Metazoa; Arthropoda; Insecta; Hemiptera; Cimicidae.
GUCACGAUAGCUCAGUGGUAGAGCAACGGCGUAUUCAGCCGAAGGUCGUGGGUUCGAAUCCCGCUCGUGACA